RNAcentral lists this ribosomal RNA (1492 nucleotides) under metagenome. RNAcentral describes it as "bacterial LSU rRNA". It matches the Rfam family "Bacterial large subunit ribosomal RNA", at positions 1302 to 2817 of the family's 2925-position model. The record is from RNAcentral.
UUGAGUAGCGAGAGAAAGGUGGGAAUCCUUUCGGCCGAAUAUCUAAGGUUUCCAGAGUAAAGCUGAUCUGCUCUGGGUAAGUCGGGGCCUAAGCACAGGUCGCAAGACGUAAGCGAUGGAUAACAGGUUUAGAUUCCUGUACCACGCAUUAUCAGAACUGUAGGGACGCAUGUGGAAAGCACGAGCCGGGAAUGGAAAGACCGGUACAAGCGGGGUAGGUGUACAACAGGCAAAUCCGUUGUAUAAUCCGAAGACGUGAUGUGGAGCGAAAUAAAGUAGUGAAGCGUGUGAGCCAUGUGCCGAGAAAAGCUGCUAUUGUGUAAUGCGUGCCCGUACCGUAAACCGACACAGGUGGAUGAGGAGAGAAUCCUAAGGCCGACGGAAGAAGCAUUGUUAAGGAAUUCGGCAAAAUGACCCCGUAACUUCGGGAGAAGGGGUGCCUGCGAGAGCAGGCCGCAGAGAAUAGGCUCAAGCAACUGUUUAGCAAAAACACAGGUCUAUGCGAAACCGAAAGGUGAAGUAUAUGGGCUGACGCCUGCCCGGUGCUGGAAGGUUAAGAGGAGAGGUUAGCGUAAGCGAAGCUUUGAAUUUAAGCCCCAGUAAACGGCGGCCGUAACAAUAACGGUCCUAAGGUAGCGAAAUUCCUUGUCGGGUAAGUUCCGACCCGCACGAAAGGCGUAAUGAUUUGAGCACUGUCUCGACAAUGCAUCCGGUGAAAUUGAAGUACCAGUGAAGAUGCUGGUUACCCGCGCCAGGACGGAUAGACCCCAUGGAGCUUUACUCCAGUUUGAUACUGGGAUUUGGUACUGCAUGUACAGGAUAGGUGGGAGACAAAGAAGGAUGGACGCCAGUCUGUCCGGAGUCGCUGUUGGGAUACCACCCCUGUAGUACUGGGUUUCUAACCAGUUGCCAUGAACUGGCAAUGGGACAAUGUCAGGCGGGGAGUUUGACUGGGGCGGUCGCCUCCGAAAGGGUAUCGGAGGCGCUCAAAGGUUCCCUCAGAAUGGUUGGAAACCAUUUGAAGAGUGCAAAGGCAGAAGGGGGCUUGACUGCGACACCGACGGGUGGAGCAGGUACGAAAGUAGGACUUAGUGAUCCGGUGGUAUAAAGUGGGAUUGCCAUCGCUCAACGGAUAAAAGCUACCCUGGGAUAACAGGCUUAUCACUCCCAAGAGUUCACAUCGACGGAGUGGUUUGGCACCUCGAUGUCGGCUCAUCGCAUCCUGGGGCUGUAGCAGGUCCCAAGGGUUGGGCUGUUCGCCCAUUAAAGCGGUACGCGAGCUGGGUUCAGAACGUCGUGAGACAGUUCGGUCCCUAUCCGGCGCGGGCGGAGGAUAUUUGAGAGGAGCUGUCCUUAGUACGAGAGGACCGGGAUGGACGGACCACUGGUGUAUCUGUUGUCGACCAACGGCAUGGCAGAGUAGCCAAGUCUGGAAGGGAUAAACGCUGAAGGCAUCUAAGCGUGAAGCCCCCCUCAAGAUGAGAUAUCCCUG